AAGGUGCUUUUACGUCGAAAAGACCUAGUAUCGAGAUUCUGUACAGUGGAUGUUUCCACGACCAUAUGUAUAACAUGGUAAAUGAAAAGUAAGAAGCUGCAAAUGGCAUGUAGGAAAAAUAGGAGGUAACUAAAAGAGAAAACCAUACUAUCAAUACCGUUUUUAAGAAGCUCUGUGUUUGAGGCGGCGGACUAGAUCUUUCUAACAUACUCAUGAAACGAAGUAGAAACGACAAAUAUAAAAUCAACUCUAAUCCAAAAGGCCCAACAUAAAGGAAUGUAGUUAUUGCCCUCCAGUACUAAAUAAAUC
Non-coding RNA from Schizosaccharomyces pombe (fission yeast), 309 nucleotides. The record is from the annotation of a GenBank genome assembly. Lineage: Eukaryota; Fungi; Ascomycota; Schizosaccharomycetes; Schizosaccharomycetales; Schizosaccharomycetaceae.